RNAcentral lists this ribosomal RNA (230 nucleotides) under uncultured bacterium. Its description in RNAcentral is "partial 16S ribosomal RNA". It matches the Rfam family "Bacterial small subunit ribosomal RNA", at positions 563 to 792 of the family's 1533-position model. The record is from RNAcentral.
AAGCGCGCGUAGGUGGUUUGUUAAGUUGGAUGUGAAAGCCCCGGGCUCAACCUGGGAACUGCAUCCAAAACUGGCAAGCUAGAGUAUGGUAGAGGGUGGUGGAAUUUCCUGUGUAGCGGUGAAAUGCGUAGAUAUAGGAAGGAACACCAGUGGCGAAGGCGACCACCUGGACUGAUACUGACACUGAGGUGCGAAAGCGUGGGGAGCAAACAGGAUUAGAUACCCCGGGU